AGAGUUUGAUCCUGGCUCAGGAUGAACGCUAGCGGUGUGCCUAACGCAUGCAAGUCGAACGAGAAACCUUGGACUCGUCUGAGGUGGAAAGUGGCGCACGGGUGAGUAACACGUAGGUGACCUGCCCCAGAGAGGGGGAUAACUAUUGGAAACGGUAGCUAAUACCCCAUAAGCUCACGGUUUUUAGAAAGCUGUGAGAAAAGCUCCGGCGCUCUGGGAGGGGCCUGCGGCCCAUCAGCUAGUUGGUAGGGUGACGGCCUACCAAGGCAAUGACGGGUAGGGGACCUGAGAGGGUGACCCCCCACACUGGCACUGAGACACGGGCCAGACUCCUGCGGGGGCAGCAGCGAGGAAUAUUGCCCAAUGGGCGAAAGCCUGAGGCAGCAACGCCGCGUGGGUGACGAAGGCCUUCGGGUCGUAAAACCCUUUUCUGGGGGAAUAGGAAGGAAGGUACCCCAGGAAUAAGAGUCGGCUAACUACGUGCCAGCAGCCGCGGUAAAACGUAGGACUCGAGCGUUAUCCGGAUUUACUGGGCGUAAAGCGCGUGUAGGCGGCUUGGUUAGUUGGAUGUUAAAGCUCCUGGCUUAACUAGGAGAGGCCAUUCAAUACUGCCAGGCUAGAGGACGGUAGAGGAGAGUAGAAUUCCAGGUGUAGUGGUGAAAUGCGUAGAUAUCUGGAAGAAUACCAGUGGCGAAGGCGGCUCUCUGGGCCGUUCCUGACGCUAAGACGCGAAAGCAUGGGUAGCGAACGGGAUUAGAAACCCCGGUAGUCCAUGCCGUAAACGAUGAAUACUGGGUGUUGGGGGUAUCAAUUCCCUCGGCGCCGAAGCUAACGCGUUAAGUAUUCCGCCUGGGGAUUACGAUCGCAAGGUUAAAACUCAAAGGAAUUGACGGGUCCCCGCACAAGCAGCGGAGCGUGUGGUUUAAUUCGAGUCUACACGAAGAACCUUACCUGGGCUUGACAUGACGGUAGUAGGGAUCCGAAAGGUGACCGACCCUUCGGGGAGCCGCCACAGGUGCUGCAUGGCUGUCGUCAGCUCGUGUCGUGAGAUGUUCGGUUAAGUCCGUUAACGAGCGCAACCCUCGCCGUUAGUUACAAGUGUCUAGCGGGACUGCCGUUAAAAAAGCGGAGGAAGGUGGGGAUGAUGUCAAGUCAGCAUGGCCUUUAUGUCCAGGGCUACACACACGCUACAAUGGCCGGUACAAUGGGUUGCCAAACCGCGAGGUGGAGCCAAUCCUCCAAAGCCGGUCUCAGUUCGGAUUGCAGGCUGCAACUCGCCUGCAUGAAGGUGGAGUUGCUAGUAACCGCAGGUCAGCUAUACUGCGGUGAAUACGUUCCCGGGGAUUGUACACACCGCCCGUCACGUCAUGGGAGCUGGUCACGCCUGAAGUCGAUGAGCUAACCUAACGGGGGCAAUCGCCUAAGGCAGGGCUGGUGACUGGGACGAAGUCGUAACAAGGUA
Molecule: ribosomal RNA, 1462 nt
Filed under: metagenome
Description: bacterial SSU rRNA
Rfam family: Bacterial small subunit ribosomal RNA
Source: RNAcentral